UGGGGGAUAUUGCACAAUGGGCGAAAGCCUGAUGCAGCGACGCCGCGUGGGGGAUGAAGGCCUUCGGGUUGUAAACUUCUUUUGCUCUGAACAAGGCAUGCUUUUGGGGUGUGUUGAGUGUAGGGCUUGAUUAGCGCCGGCUAACUACGUGCCAGCAGCCGCGGUAAUACGUAGGGCGCGAGCGUUGUCCGGAAUUAUUGGGCGUAAAGGGCUUGUAGGUGGCUGGUUGCGUCUGUCGUGAAAGCUCAUGGCUUAACUGUGGGUUUGCGGUGGGUACGGGCUGGCUUGAGUGCAGUAGGGGAGGCUGGAAUUCCUGGUGUAGCGGUGGAAUGCGCAGAUAUCAGGAGGAAUACCGGUGGCGAAGGCGGGUCUCUGGGCUGUUACUGACGCUGAGGAGCGAAAGCGUGGGGAGCGAACAGG
This 420-nucleotide ribosomal RNA is filed under the name Fusobacteriota bacterium. Its description in RNAcentral is "Fusobacteria bacterium partial 16S ribosomal RNA". It matches the Rfam family "Bacterial small subunit ribosomal RNA", at positions 355 to 776 of the family's 1533-position model. Lineage: Bacteria; Fusobacteriati; Fusobacteriota. The record is from RNAcentral.